CCUACGGGUGGCUGCAGUGGGGAAUAUUGGACAAUGGGGGGAACCCUGAUCCAGCCAUGCCGCGUGUGUGAAGAAGGCCCUCGGGUUGUAAAGCACUUUCAGUGAGGAAGAACGCCUGGUGGUUAAUACCCAUCAGGAAAGACAUCACCCACAGAAGAAGCACCGGCUAACUCCGUGCCAGCAGCCGCGGUAAUACGGAGGGUGCGAGCGUUAAUCGGAAUUACUGGGCGUAAAGCGCGCGUAGGUGGCUUGAUAAGCCGGUUGUGAAAGCCCCGGGCUCAACCUGGGAACGGCAUCCGGAACUGUCAAGCUAGAGUGCAGGAGAGGAAGGUAGAAUUCCCGGUGUAGCGGUGAAAUGCGUAGAGAUCGGGAGGAAUACCAGUGGCGAAGGCGGCCUUCUGGACUGACACUGACGCUGAGGUGCGAAAGCGUGGGUAGCAAACAGGAUUAGAUACCCUAGUAGUC
This 465-nucleotide ribosomal RNA is filed under the name Vreelandella stevensii. RNAcentral's name for it is "partial 16S ribosomal RNA". It matches the Rfam family "Bacterial small subunit ribosomal RNA", at positions 338 to 795 of the family's 1533-position model. The record is from RNAcentral. Lineage: Bacteria; Pseudomonadati; Pseudomonadota; Gammaproteobacteria; Oceanospirillales; Halomonadaceae.